This 406-nucleotide ribosomal RNA is filed under the name uncultured bacterium. Its description in RNAcentral is "partial 16S ribosomal RNA". It matches the Rfam family "Bacterial small subunit ribosomal RNA", at positions 30 to 526 of the family's 1533-position model. The record is from RNAcentral.
AUUGAACGCUGGCGGCAGGCCUAACACAUGCAAGUCGAGCGAGCGGCGGACGGGUGAGUAAUGUCUGGGAAACUGCCUGAUGGAGGGGGAUAACUACUGGAAACGGUAGCUAAUACCGCAUACCAUCAGAUGUGCCCAGAUGGGAUUAGCUAGUAGGUGGGGUAACGGCUCACCUAGGCGACGAUCCCUAGCUGGUCUGAGCGGAUGACCAGCAACACUGGAACUGGGAAACGGUCCCGACUCCUACGGGAGGAGGCAGUGGGGAUUAUUGCACAAUGGGGGAAAGCCGGAUGCAGCCAUGCCGCGUGUGUGAAGAAGGCCUUCGGGUUGUAAAGCACUUUCAGCGGGGAGGCGUUACCCGCAGAAGAAGCACCGGCUAACUCCGUGCCAGCAGCCGCGGUAAUUC